RNAcentral lists this ribosomal RNA (791 nucleotides) under uncultured bacterium. RNAcentral describes it as "bacterial SSU rRNA". It matches the Rfam family "Bacterial small subunit ribosomal RNA", at positions 8 to 796 of the family's 1533-position model. The record is from RNAcentral.
AGAGUUUGAUCAUGGCUCAGAUUGAACGCUGGCGGCAUGCCUUACACAUGCAAGUCGAACGGCAGCACGGGGGCAACCCUGGUGGCGAGUGGCGAACGGGUGAGUAAUACAUCGGAACGUGUCCUGGAGUGGGGGAUAGCCCGGCGAAAGCCGGAUUAAUACCGCAUACGAUCUCUGGAUGAAAGCGGGGGACCGAAAGGCCUCGCGCUCAAGGGGCGGCCGAUGGCAGAUUAGCUAGUUGGUGGGGUAAAGGCCUACCAAGGCGACGAUCUGUAGCUGGUCUGAGAGGACGACCAGCCACACUGGGACUGAGACACGGCCCAGACUCCUACGGGAGGCAGCAGUGGGGAAUUUUGGACAAUGGGGGCAACCCUGAUCCAGCAAUGCCGCGUGUGUGAAGAAGGCCUUCGGGUUGUAAAGCACUUUUGUCCGGAAAGAAAACCGCUUCUCUAAUACAGAGGUGGGAUGACGGUACCGGAAGAAUAAGCACCGGCUAACUACGUGCCAGCAGCCGCGGUAAUACGUAGGGUGCGAGCGUUAAUCGGAAUUACUGGGCGUAAAGCGUGCGCAGGCGGUUCGCUAAGACCGAUGUGAAAUCCCCGGGCUUAACCUGGGAACUGCAUUGGUGACUGGCGGGCUAGAGUAUGGCAGAGGGGGGUAGAAUUCCACGUAGCAGUGAAAUGCGUAGAGAUGUGGAGGAAUACCGAUGGCGAAGGCAGCCCCCUGGGCCAAUACUGACGCUCAUGCACGAAAGCGUGGGGAGCAAACAGGAUUAGAUACCCUAGUAGUCC